GGGAGAAGGAUGGAUAAAAAACAGAUGCCGGAGAUUUGAGAAUCCUCGACCUGGACCUUCAGUGGACUAGUCCAGUCCAAGGCAAUGUGCAUUCACGAAUCACACCUAAUUUCAUCAAAAACGACCAAGAACUCAAGGACUCUGAUCUUCCAAAGUUUUGGAGUGAAGGCGGUCGUAGACUUCCGUUCGAAUCGGAGUUCCAAGAAAACGAGAUUUUCUGAGAGAGAAGGACGCCGCCAUGCGUCGGCCGGGAUAAGGAGGAGCGCGGCAGAAUCGACUUAGACACGUGUCGCAUUCCGGCUGGUGAGGCGUGCUCUACAUGUUGGCUUACACGCGGCAGAGUGCGGGAUUCAAGCCAACCCGAGUCCAAAGUGGGUGACCCGAACCGCAUCUGGAAAACCGCCCCGACGCGAUUGUCCGACCAGGAUUUCUGGUCCGCAGGCGUUGUGCGAGUAGAUACG
Long non-coding RNA from Cucurbita maxima (winter squash), 461 nucleotides. RefSeq lists it as uncharacterized. The record is from RefSeq and is a predicted model, not a curated record. NCBI's taxonomy places the organism in Eukaryota, Viridiplantae, Streptophyta, Magnoliopsida, Cucurbitales, Cucurbitaceae. The transcript is spliced from 3 exons.